AAAGAGUGUAGUUUUACAGUGUUCACAUCCAAAGUUUAACCGUUUAUUUUAUUUAAAUUUUUUAUAAUUAGUAUUUUUUUUAUUUUUAGAUGAUAAAAUAUAAAUAAUACUUUAUAUAUCACUAAUUUUUUUAAAAAAAUUAUAAAUUUUUUAAAUAAAACGGAUGGUAAAAUAUUUGACACGGAAACUUGUAUCUGUAUGUAAA
RNAcentral lists this microRNA precursor (205 nucleotides) under Oryza nivara. RNAcentral's name for it is "MIR812 microRNA precursor family". It matches the Rfam family "MIR812 microRNA precursor family". The record is from Rfam by way of RNAcentral. Lineage: Eukaryota; Viridiplantae; Streptophyta; Magnoliopsida; Poales; Poaceae.